UUGGCUUAGAAGCAGCCAUCCUUGAAAGAGUGCGUAAUAGCUCACUGGUCAAGUGAUUCUGCGCCGAUAAUGUAGCGGGGCUCAAGUACACCGCCGAAGUUGUGGCAAUCAGUCCUUGUGGCUGGUUGGGUAGGGGAGCGUCCUGCAUGAGGUGAAGCUGCCACGGGAGUGUGUGGUGGAUUGUGUGGGAGUGAGAAUGCAGGCAUGAGUAGCGAAUCACGGGUGAGAAACCCGUGCGCCGGAUGAUCAAGGGUUCCAGGGUCAAGUUAAUCUGCCCUGGGUUAGUCGGGGCCUAAGGCGAGGCCGACAGGCGUAGUCGAUGGAUAACGGGUUGAUAUUCCCGUACCAGUGAAGAACCGUCCAUACUGAUAUUGUGAUGCUAACCAUGCCGAACACAGUGUGCUGCUCUUUUGGGUGGUGUGUUGUGGGGUGUGUGGGACCCAGGCUUUGGAGGUAAGCGUGUUAACAGGUGUGACGCAGGAAGGUAGCCAAGCCACGCGGUGGUUGUCGUGGUCUAAGCGUGUAGGAUGGUUGGUUGUUAAAUGCGCCAGCUGUGUGUCUGAGACGUGAUGGGACCCCGUUGUUGGGGGAUUUGGUGAUCCUAUGCUGUCGAGAAAAGCAUCGGCGUGAGGUUUGAGCUGCCCGUACCCGAAACCGACACAGGUGAUCAGGUAGAGAAUACUAAGGCGAUCGAGAGAAUCAUGGUUAAGGAACUCGGCAAAAUGCCCCCGUAACUUCGGGAGAAGGGGGGCCCUGAGCGUGAUCUGCCCGUGCGGUGGGGAGCGUGUAGGGGUCGCAGAGACCAGGGGGAAGCGACUGUUUAUCAAAAACACAGGUCCGUGCGAAGUCGUAAGACGAGGUAUACGGACUGACUCCUGCCCGGUGCUGGAAGGUUAAGAGGAGUGGUUAGCCCCUUUGGGGGCGAAGCUGCGAAUUUAAGCCCCAGUAAACGGCGGUGGUAACUAUAACCAUCCUAAGGUAGCGAAAUUCCUUGUCGGGUAAGUUCCGACCUGCACGAAUGGCGUAACGACUUCUCCGCUGUCUCGACCACGAGCUCGGUGAAAUUGCAGUACGAGUAAAGAUGCUCGUUUCGCGCAGCAGGACGGAAAGACCCCGUGACCUUUACUAUAGUUUGGUAUUGGUGUUUGGGUUGGCUUGUGUAGGAUAGGUGGGAGACUGUGAAGCCGCUACGCUAGUGGUGGUGGAGUCGUUGUUGAAAUACCACUCUGGUCAAUCUGAGCGUCUAACUUCGGGCCAUGAUCUGGUUCAGGGACAGUGCCUGAUGGGUAGUUUAACUGGGGCGGUUGCCUCCUAAAGUGUAACGGAGGCGCCCAAAGGUUCCCUCAGCCUGGUUGGCAAUCAGGUGUUGAGUGUAAGUGCACAAGGGAGCUUGACUGUGAGAGUGGCGGCUCGAGCAGGUGCGAAAGCAGGGACUAGUGAUCCGGCAGUGGCGUGUGGAAGCGCUGUCGCUCAACGGAUAAAAGGUACCUCGGGGAUAACAGGCUGAUCUUGCCCAAGAGUCCAUAUCGACGGCAUGGUUUGGCACCUCGAUGUCGGCUCGUCGCAUCCUGGGGCUGGAGUCGGUCCCAAGGGUUGGGCUGUUCGCCCAUUAAAGCGGUACGCGAGCUGGGUUCAGAACGUCGUGAGACAGUUCGGUCCCUAUCCGCUGCGCGCGUUGGAGAAUUGAGAAAGGCUGUCCUUAGUACGAGAGGACCGGGACGGACGAACCUCUGGUAUGUCAGUUGUACCGCCAGGUGCAUGGCUGAUUGGCUACGUUCGGGAGGGAUAACCGCUGAA
Molecule: ribosomal RNA, 1797 nt
Filed under: human metagenome
Description: bacterial LSU rRNA
Rfam family: Bacterial large subunit ribosomal RNA
Source: RNAcentral